UUAGGCGUCAAUAGGUGUUAGUAAAAUCGGCACUAAGUAAUUUAUCUACAGAUUACGGAUAGAUUGAUUAUUAUCAUUAAUUUCAGCCACUGGAAAGCUUCAACUAUCUUCACUCACAAUGUAUCCAGCAUCAUUUUUUAUCUACGUGAAUUUAGUCGGAACUGUCGAGGUCUUUAGCAUUUGGACGGGUUAAUAUUGUACCAGUACAAAAAUAUCCAUCCAGUAUUGAAAUAGUGAUUUUCAAAACAAAAUUGAACCCCACUGCUUUUUCAUAAGUAUUAAUAAUAAUUGAAGUAUGAUAAAAGAUCUUUUUAACAGAGAAAUUUUGAUUUGAAUGUAAACAUAGUAUUGAAGGUUGGAGACUUUGCCAUUAAGAAAAAAGCCGCUCCAUACAAACGAAGUACAUAAUCAAAUAAAUAUUCAAGUAAAUAUUCAAAGAAGGAAUGUGAAUAUUUAAGAAUCAAACUCAACGAAAUUUUGUAAACCCGUCUGCUUGUGUAAAUAUCUAUAACUGUUGUUUAUCAGAUUUCCGUAAAAAUACGUAGUUUAAAAGUUACCCGGCCUCAAAGAAAAUCCGUAUAUCUUUGAAACUACAUAUUUUGACGAAAGCUUGAAAAACCAGACAAAUAUCAAUUUGAAAUAGAGAGAUAAAAGUUUACGCGAUAGAAAGAGGCUUUUAUUAAAUUUUAGGCCGCAGCACUGUGCGAGCAGAAUUGCACUUUAUUGCGUGGUAAAAAGAGUCGGUUUUUAUUUAAACUUCUUUCCGGGGUGAUCCUUUUGAACAGUACCACCAGUUUUAUAAGUUACGCCGAUGUACCUGCGCAGAAAGUUUAUUUUUGAAUGGCGCGAAAAUAUCCCAGCCAAUCAUAGCGCGCGUCCGGCUUGCGUCCGUCUGCUAUUGGUCGUUGCCUAUCCGCCAUGUUUUGUACGCGCGAAUUACGAAUGAAAUAGCACUUAUCUUUGUUGUUCUUGUGUUUAAAGUCUUGACGUCAAGCAAUAAGGUCUGUAUUUCAUUGGUAUACGUUCGCUUUUAGUCUGUUUUAGAUUGCGCAAACGAAUUUUGCCGAUGUGACUUAUAAAAGUGGUAGUAUUGUGCCUGGAUGGUAAGUUACUAUCAAGUAUUGUGGUAUUGGUACAAUAUACACCGUAACUUCGACACUGCAACAUCAUCCUUCAAGUAUAAUCGUCAUAAGAUCACAUUUUUUUAUAAGGCAAACAACAAUCUUUAAAGCUAAACCUUUGAUGAAGGGGUACAGAUCGUUUCACGUAAAAAUACCUCUGGCCGAUAGAGGGGAUGUCUGUGCAUGGUAGAUAUAAUUAAUACUAUUAACAUAGUACGCUAGAUGUGAUGUGGUGUACAAAAUAACAGUUAGUUUUUGUGCCGUUUUGAAGCGCCCAACCGAGCGUACCGGGAAUCAAAAUUGACACUGUCAUAUGGUCGUCGAAUUAACAGAUGUCUCAUUUAGCUCCGAGUACGCUCACUGCUAUCAGCGCCAAAAUGACGAUAGUCAAGUUUAAAAACAUGUCGUCAAUCGUAGAUCUAGCAUAGUACGUAAAUAGUAUCUACCGUGAUAUAUGGUUGUACAGCGUUCAACUAACAGUCUGCCAGACACCCGCGCCGUUAGCCAUCACUUCACCAACUAGGUCAGAACAAAUCGCCUUCUGCACAGGUACAAGGUCAACGGUAUUUUUUACGUGGAACGGACUGUAAAGUAGAGGGGUGGUGGGAAAGACGGCGAAAAACCGAUAACGAAACUUUUCGUGCGAGAAAAUCUUGGAAAAGAAAAACAAUUUCUAUGGAAUGGGAGUUUAUUCUAUUUCGGCUAAAAGUUUCAAAAAUCGUUCAAAAACUUAUUCGGGUAUACAGUCAGUUAUAUUCUAGGAACCUUAGAAGUAAAUUGGAAGUUUUUUUAAAAGAAAAAUAUUAAAAA
Maniola jurtina (meadow brown) is the source of this 1931-nucleotide long non-coding RNA. RefSeq lists it as uncharacterized. The record is from RefSeq and is a predicted model, not a curated record. Lineage: Eukaryota; Metazoa; Arthropoda; Insecta; Lepidoptera; Nymphalidae. The transcript is spliced from 3 exons.